UUCCGGUCAGUUACCUGGUGUAGUGCA
Molecule: small RNA, 27 nt
Filed under: Bombyx mori (domestic silkworm)
Lineage: Eukaryota; Metazoa; Arthropoda; Insecta; Lepidoptera; Bombycidae
Description: ovarian small RNA-37233
Source: RNAcentral